This 484-nucleotide ribosomal RNA is filed under the name uncultured bacterium. RNAcentral's name for it is "partial 16S ribosomal RNA". It matches the Rfam family "Bacterial small subunit ribosomal RNA", at positions 30 to 507 of the family's 1533-position model. The record is from RNAcentral.
AUUGAACGCUGGCGGCAGGCCUAACACAUGCAAGUCGAGCGGAUGCAGGGAGCUUGCUCCUGGAUUCAGCGGCGGACGGGUGAGUAAUGCCUAGGAAUCUGCCUGGUAGUGGGGGAUAACGUCCGGAAACGGGCGCUAAUACCGCAUACGUCCUGAGGGAGAAAGUGGGGGAUCUUCGGACCUCACGCUAUCAGAUGAGCCUAGGUCGGAUUAGCUAGUUGGUGGGGUAAAGGCCUACCAAGGCGACGAUCCGUAACUGGUCUGAGAGGAUGAUCAGUCACACUGGAACUGAGACACGGUCCAGACUCCUACGGGAGGCAGCAGUGGGGAAUAUUGGACAAUGGGCGAAAGCCUGAUCCAGCCAUGCCGCGUGUGUGAAGAAGGUCUUCGGAUUGUAAAGCACUUUAAGUUGGGAGGAAGAGCAGUAAGUUAAUACCUUGCUGUUUUGACGUUACCAGCAGAAUAAGCACCGGCUAACUUCGUG